UUUUUUUUUCUUUUUAGGGCCACACCCAUGGCAUAAGGAAGCUCCCAAGCUAGAGGUUGAAUUGGAGCUGAAGCUGCUGGCUUAUGCCACAGCCAGAGCAACACUAGAUCCGAGCCACAACUGUGACCUCUACCACAGCUCAUGGCAAUGCCAGAUGCUUAAUCCACAUUGAGCAAGGCCAGGAGUCAAACCAACGUCCUCAUGGAUCCUAGUUCAUUACCAGUGACUGAGCCAUGAUGGGAACUCCAUUGAAGAUGAAUUCUGACUUAAGAGCUCUGGUUUUAUUGCUCUGUUGUAAAGGAGGAGGUGUAUUUUCUAGUGGGCCAGCAUUUCCGGUGUACUGGUGGCUUAUUUGUUGAGGGAGCCACAAGGACCUCAUGGCAGUCACAAGGCCCCCCACCCUUGCUUCUCUUGUCUGAGUGCCCAUUCAUGGAAAUGCCAGGGCCAGAUCUCAAGCUCCAGCAGUAUUCACCCACCUUAUGUGUCCUAAGUGUGAACACUAGCAUCAGCAACUCCUAACACAGGGGCUGACCUGGCUGUUUACAGAGUUCUUUGAUUCAUUAUGAGCUGGUGACAUAUGCAUAGCUCCUCCUCUAUGCUGUCCGUCUCUUUCUGAGUUAUUCCAGAAUUCUGCCAGGAACAGUCACUUUUUUGUGGGUCUAUUUUUUUUUUUUUUCCCCUGUAGAUGUUUGCAAGUUCCUCAGUUUUGUUUAUGUAAUUUCAACCAACAGUUUCCAUUUGGGUUAAAACAUCCAGAAAUUCUUACUAUUUUUAUAUGUUGGUAGCUGUGCUCCUGAUUUUCCACUGCUUCUGUGGAUUUCUUUCAGUAUUUUUCCUGUCUUUGCAGUGGAACAUUCUUCAGCUGUAUAGGUAAGCAUGUGUUUUCAGUUAGCCAUCAGAACCAGAAACACCUUUUCCAAAUAUUUACAAUUUUGUAGAAUAUGCUGAAAGGAAAGUAAAUCAAGUCACAAUUCCAUUUUUUUUUUCUAUUUGCUGUUUUGCAGUCUAAAAUUUUCCUCGUUUGGAGGGAAGAUGUUUUAAUGGCAUGUUGAAGGCAGUCUAUACGGUGGUGUUAUUAAGUGGGAGAAAAAAAUCUUGGAGGUAUCAGAUUAGCACUGAACACAGGUCAUUCUGCUUUUAAGGGUCAUGUGCCUGGUGCUUUAUUUCUGAUUACUCCUAAAUAGUCUGUCUCUUUCAAAAGAAUGUGAGGUCAGUGUUGUAGAGCUAAAUACAGAUCACUUCAAUUUCCACAUAUAUAGUAGCCAUAAAUUUUUCUCAGCUCUUCUUUCUCUGAUACAGCCUGUGAUGUUUAUUGCAAAUGAGUGAUGUUCAGGAAAGGUAGCUGACUGGAAACCCAGAUCUUAGGCCCAGCUUUUUAUGUUCCUAAUGACUGGAAACUUAGAAUUUCUAAAGCUCUCAGGUUCUCAUUCCCCUUAUUUAGCAGGAUGGUAGCGAUGCAUGUGUAAAGAAUCCGAAAAAUUUGAAAUUGCACCCUGAAAUUAUUUUUAUUUAUUUAUUUAUUUAUUUAUUUAUUGCCUUUUGUCUUUUUAGGGCCACACCCACAGCAUAUGGAGGUUCCCAGGCUAGGGGUCUAAUUGGAGCUACAGCUGUCAGCCAACGCCAGAGCCACAGCGACAUUAGAUCCAAGCUGCAUCUGCGACCUACACCACAGCUCACGGCAACGCUGGAUCCUUAACCCACUGAGCGAGGCCAGGGAUUGAACCCACAACCUCAUGGUUCCUAGUCGGAUUUGUUUCUGCUCUGCCACAACGAGAACUCCAAAUUAUUUUUUUAAAUCCCAUGAAUGUGUUAACCCUUUAUGAUGAAAUUGCCCAGCCGACAUUCUUAUUAAUAUGAGUCAUCCAACUAUAUGAACUCUUUUAUUCAAACUAGAUAAUAUCUGAUACGUAAAAGCCAGCACAGGAAUAAUAAUAAAAAAGAAAUGCAUUUAGUGUUGGCAAUUACUUUAUGUAUGUAAUUUUUACUUAAACCUGAUAGCAGACCCAGCUGGAAGAUAUUAACAUUUCAUCUCUUAAUAGAAGGUAAAUCAAAGUUUUAAAAGAUGGCAUAAUUUAGCCUGAGACAUCCAAUUAGUAUGGGCAGAGCCAGGAUUAGAAUCCGGGCCCUAGCCCCUGAUGGUAACACUGCUCAGCCUUCUUAUUACUAAGUGGGUAAAACUCUGAAGGAAAGUUAUAUGCUUUGUAUUAUUCUUUAAGGAGUUGGAAUACUUUUUUUUCCAUGAAAUUCAGUUUUCCUCAAAACAUCUUACAAAUUUGCAUGCUGACCAUUCCUUAAAUUACAAAGAAUAAAUACAAGGUUAUGUCUUAUUUUUAUGACUGUUGGAGAGGGAAACAAUAAUUUCAAUUAAAUUGCACCAGCCAUAAUACCACCUAAUUAUGUUUAUAUGCUUUUUAAAUAUAACAGAAAUAACCAGAAAUGACUCUCUUCACCACAGAUAUUCACCAGCUCACUUGGCUGAUCCUUCAUAGUUUGAACAGGGUUUUCAUGUCAAUGAACCCAUUUAAUGUGCCCUGAGAUGUUGCAGAGCAAAGUGGGCCUCCCUUUCUCAUCUCAAAUGAGAAAGGCAAAGAAAAAAGAGUGAUCUAUUUCCUCAGUCUUUUGAGAGAAAGCUGAAAUGUAGAUUGUUCUUCAAUUCAAGUUCCGAUUGUUCUAAGCUUGGUUUAAAAUAAUUAUCCAUUCUUCUUCUUGCCUAUUUUUUUUUAAUUUUGAGACACCACAGCUUAUUUAUAACUCACUGACAUCCAAACCCACAAAGAAAACUGUGAUGCUGUUUUAGUGUGUGAACAAGCAGCUAUUUGUAAAGAGACUGAGAGAAGCAUUGCUAGUCCUCACGGCAGUGCCUGAAUAAUCCUGUUUUUCAUAAGUAUAUACAUUUCUUUAUCAGAUAAAAAUGAUGCAUUUGCUAGGGUAGAAAUUGUGCAGUGAGAAAUGUGCCAGGUUACCUUUACUCCCACCCAGCGAGUCACUUGGUCCCUCGUCCCCUGUGAAAGAUCUAAAAUUUAACUAAAAGAUCUCCAAGAGCCCGUCCAAUGCUUAAGUUCUUAAAUCUUUAGCUUUUUCAUCCUUUCAUGCUUUAGCAAAUAUUUACUGAGCCCCCGUUACGUACUUGCCAGCACCUGUCCUGGGCAUGCAUAAAUAAACAAAACAGGCAACUCCCUGCACUCAUACACUUUAUGUUCUAAUGGGGAAAGAGCCAUUAAACAAGAGGAAAUGCGAUGGGCGAGUAAGCUGGGUAGUCCUCUUGAAGACUGUGACACAUAAAGCAGUCUGAGAGGAAGGGUGGGGCUGUGUGUGGCCAGGGUGUGCUGCCUUAAGCUUUGAGUGACCACUUGAAGGAGGUGUGGUUGUGAGCCAUGCAGAUACAGGGGCCAGACCAGAGGAACACCUCAGAGAGAAAAGGCAGUGCAAAGACCCAAAUCGGGAGUGUUCCUGCUGUCUAGAGAGACUGGCAAGGGAUCCUUGUGGCUAGAGCUCGGGAAGGCAGAGAGUAAGAAGACACAGGGGGAAGAGGUAAGGGAGAGAGAUCUUAAAAGAGCUUUUAUUCCAUUGUAAGGACAUUUUUACUAAAUCUGUUAGGGGGCCCAGUUCUAGAACCCUGCUCUUACUGAGUUCUUAAGUGCCUCCUUUGAUAUAGCAUAAUGUACCUCGUGCUUUGAUAAUUCUUGCCUCUGAUCAGGCAAAGGUACUAGGUCUCUAAAGAGAGAGUUGGAGAAAGCAGUUCACACGGGUAGGGUUAGAGGGGCUGUGCCACCGGACCUUUUUAUUUUAUUUUAUUUUUUAAAUAAAGUAUAGUUGAUUUACAGGGUUUCUUCAAUUUCUGUUGCACAGCAAGUUGACCCAAUCACACACAGUUCCCUGUGCUGUACAGUAGGGCCCCAUUGCUGAUCCAUUCCAAAUGUAACAGUUUGCAUCCCCAAACACCAAACUCGCAGUCCAUCCCACUCCACCCCCACCCCCACCUUGGCAACCACAAGCCUAUUUUCCUUGGCCAUGAUCUGUUUCUGUUGUGUCGAUAGCAUCAUCUGUGCCGUAUUUUAGAUUCCACAAAUAAGAGAUAUCAUAUGGUAUUUGUCUUUCUCUUUCUGACUUACAUCUCUUAGUAUGAGAAUCUCUAAUUCCAUCUAUGUUGCUGCAAAUGGCAUUAGUUUGUCUUUUUUAUGGCUUGAGUAGUAUCCCAUUGGACAUAUAUGUACCACAUCGUUUUUACAGGUCCAAAAUUGGAAAUAGAAAGUGUCAUGGAAAGAUGGUAGGGGGAAAAGAGAGUGAGUGCCUGUGUUUAGAGGACCUGGUGACUAUUUGAAUAAUUGCUUUAAUUGGCAUUGCAAUGGAUGAGGCAAUUUUGUUUUUCCAACAAAAUAGGCAAUUGAGUGAAUCAAAGCAAAUGAGUCUGCUUUGCCCAAAAUUAGUAUAACUCGUCCAGCUUUCUGUUCAUUAGUAUUAGCAUGGUAUAUCUUUCUCCAUCCCUUUUUUCUAUUCUGUGUCUAUAUUUAACUUG
RNAcentral lists this long non-coding RNA (4516 nucleotides) under Sus scrofa (pig). Its description in RNAcentral is "lncRNA (ENSSSCG00040026365.1)". Lineage: Eukaryota; Metazoa; Chordata; Mammalia; Artiodactyla; Suidae. The record is from RNAcentral.